AGCACCCGGGUGACGGGAGGCACACCGCAGUGCGUGGCAUCACAGGGCGCAGCAACCCCGCCACGCUCUGCGUGUGGGGAGAAGCCAAGCAGCCUCCACCUAUCCCAUGCCAAUGCCGAGCGAACCGCUGGUGGUGACGGGGCCCAGCACCCACGACGUAGGGGAGUCAGAGCGGUGCAUCGCUACGGAUGUCGGCGGUUGGGUCCUGGACGGCGGUGCGUCGGAGCGGCCUGCGACGGCGCACGUGCUUGCGCCUUUUAUAUGUGGCAGGCAGAGCUUCAACGCGACUUGAGCGUGCCCCACACACCAGGCCCUCGCACUGCCCACCUGGUGGGAGGAGCCCCGAGUGUCGCGCCGAGGGACGCCACCAGGGGUGGCGACCGGGGAUGGUGGGCGCGGCUGUGAGGCGACCCGCAACGCGGGUGAGUGGGUAGAGGUUUGGGGCAGGGGCUGUGCGCCGGUGACCGAGUCGACGCACUGCUGCAACUCGUGUCUACGGCUUCUUCGCAGCACGGGAUGAGACCUGUGACUCGCCGGUUGGUGGGGGUGGGGGGCUCAAGAGCGGUGUGGAGCUCGUGUCGCACGGUACAGAAGGUGGACACGCUGCAAGGGUGGAGAGAAGACGCCAGCGCCCUCUGACUGUUUAUCAUAACGUGUGUGCGUCUUGGUUGACGCCCUUCUCAUAGAGGAGGCAAUCGUGCAAGCGCAGAUGAGGCGCAGGGCUGUCCCGAAAGCCCCGGCUGCGUUGGGCCGCACGUAAGCUGUUGCCGGUUUUCGUGCUCUCACGGGGUCGAUGGCGCUUCACGGUGGUGAUGCGAACGACCUCGAGCAGAGCGGGUGAUGCGCAGUGCGCUUUUUCCGGGUGCAUCGCGCGCACCGUGAAGAUUGUUUUCCCGAGGUUUGUGUGCCACGGAGAGAAAGGGUAGCUUGAGUUGCGCGCACGUGAGGUCAGCGGUGGGCGGAGAGCCUCCUGUGCGGGGGGAGAAGGCUGCACAGCCGCCACACGCGUGAUGCUCCUCGUCGUUGUCCUUUGUUGCACCGUUUCUUUAAAAAAAUGUUUUGUGUCGAGCCUGUGCGGCAAAUUUUGUGAGUGUGGUAUCGAAGAGGCUUGAUGGCAAGCAGGAGCUAGAGUGACGUGUAGGCGUCUCGUCGAUGGACUUCGUAACGCCCUGCGCUUUCUCUCUUAGCGCUCUGCCUCUGUGCCCCUUCGAUAGCCGCCAGGUCUGCUUUACUGCCUAAGCGAACCUCCUUCGGCCCCCCACCGCCUACCACACCCG
Molecule: unclassified non-coding RNA, 1277 nt
Filed under: Leishmania donovani
Lineage: Eukaryota; Euglenozoa; Kinetoplastea; Trypanosomatida; Trypanosomatidae
Description: gene:unknown
Source: RNAcentral